RNAcentral lists this ribosomal RNA (238 nucleotides) under uncultured bacterium. RNAcentral's name for it is "partial 16S ribosomal RNA". It matches the Rfam family "Bacterial small subunit ribosomal RNA", at positions 96 to 334 of the family's 1533-position model. The record is from RNAcentral.
CGGCGGACGGGUGAGUAACGCGUGGGUAACCUGCCUCAUACAGGGGGAUAACAGUUAGAAAUGACUGCUAAUACCGCAUAAGACCACAGCACCGCAUGGUGCAGGGGUAAAAACUCCGGUGGUAUGAGAUGGACCCGCGUCUGAUUAGGUAGUUGGUGGGGUAACGGCCUACCAAGCCGACGAUCAGUAGCCGACCUGAGAGGGUGACCGGCCACAUUGGGACUGAGACACGGCCCAG